This 254-nucleotide ribosomal RNA is filed under the name uncultured bacterium. Its description in RNAcentral is "partial 16S ribosomal RNA". It matches the Rfam family "Bacterial small subunit ribosomal RNA", at positions 524 to 776 of the family's 1533-position model. The record is from RNAcentral.
CACGUAGGGUGCGAGCGUUGUCCGGAAUUAUUGGGCGUAAGGAGCUCGUAGGCGGUGUGUCGCGUCGGCCGUGAAAACCUGCAGCUUAACUGUGGGCGUGCGGUCGAUACGGGCAUCACUGGAGUUCGGCAGGGGAGACUGGAAUUCCUGGUGUAGCGGUGAAAUGCGCAGAUAUCAGGAGGAACACCGGUGGCGAAGGCGGGUCUCUGGGCCGAUACUGACGCUGAGGAGCGAAAGCGUGGGGAGCAAACAGG